This is a non-coding RNA of Halorubrum sp. J07HR59, 71 nucleotides long. NCBI's taxonomy places the organism in Archaea, Methanobacteriati, Methanobacteriota, Halobacteria, Halobacteriales, Haloferacaceae. The record is from Rfam.
UCCGGGCUGGGGUAAUGGUAUCCUACGGGCCUGUGGCGCCUGUGACGUGGGUUCGAUUCCCACGCCCGGAC